CGGGGAGGGGCCGGCGGCGGGGCCCAUGGGGACCCGUUAGCAGCGGGGAGCGGCCUCCCGGUGCCCGCCGCCUUCCCCGGUACAGGGGCAGCGCUGGCUGCCGCCGGGACGGAGCGGCAGCGGGAGGGCGGGGGGUGCCGGGGCCUCCCUUGUGAUUUUUUUUUUUUAAUUGUAUUUUUUAUUUUUGUUCCUCCUUUCUUCUCUCUCUCCUGGCCCUUCCCGGACUGCGAGAGAUUAUUUUAUGCCUACCUCAUCUUCUUGGAAAGAGGAAGACAAAUGGAACUACGUGAUUCUGUAAACGCCUAGAGAUCAUUCUGGUGUUGUAGGAUUCCAUUUGAAGAACGAUUUUUGAAUAGUAAUCUGUGUUUUUUCCAAGAGUGUCCCUCAGAUUUUCAGAAUUAAUGGAAGACUUUAUAUAAUGGUGCAAGAAGUAUUUGUGAAACAAAAAAUUAAGGUUGAAGAAUGGCUCCCUCUCUUCUAAAAACACAUCUGAAUAGACUUGUCCCAGCGCCUUAGCUGAUACACUGCCAAAAUAAUUGGUCUAUUUAUGUUAACUCUCCAUUAAAUUCUUUAAGAAAUUUUCAGUAAAAUUCCUUGAAAUUUGCAAUGGUUUGUGAUUCAAUAAAUUGUCAUUUAAUUGAACAUUCUAUUUUUAUUUUGUGAAAUCUUGUAUGGUCUUUUAUUAUGCAUUCAGUGAUGGCAGUAUUUUUAUCUUCAAAGACUGUAUUUAUAUUUCUGGACAAACUUUAAACUGUAUUUUAAGUGCUUUCCUAUUUAAGGGGUACAUGCCUUUUUAACUUUGAGAAUUGUCACAGGAACACAGUGAUACAGAAUUGUAGGGGUUCUCUGAAGGGCCCUCUGAAGAUCAGCUACUCCAACCCCCCUGUUGACACAGGUUCUCUGGAGUAGAUUGCACAGGAAAGCGUCCAGGUGGGUUUUGAAUUUCUCCAGAGAAGCAGACCUCACAUCUCUCUUGGGCAGCCUGUUUCAGAGUUCU
This 997-nucleotide long non-coding RNA is filed under the name Gallus gallus (chicken). Its description in RNAcentral is "lncRNA (ENSGALG00010017456.1)". Lineage: Eukaryota; Metazoa; Chordata; Aves; Galliformes; Phasianidae. The record is from RNAcentral.